Molecule: long non-coding RNA, 104 nt
Organism: Ipomoea nil (Japanese morning glory)
Lineage: Eukaryota; Viridiplantae; Streptophyta; Magnoliopsida; Solanales; Convolvulaceae
Exons: 3
Source: RefSeq, a predicted model, not a curated record
AGGAUUGGGUUGGAGGAAGUGUUGGUGGAGUGUAUCCAUUAAAAUUGUUACAGCAGCAAAAGCCAUAGCCGGUGAUGUGAUGUGAUUUUGAAAGAAAUAAUGAU